GAUGAACGCUAGCUACAGGCUUAACACAUGCAUGUCGAGGGGAAACGACAUCGAAAGCCUGCUUCCGAUGGGCGUCGACCGGCGCACGGGUGAGUAACGCGUAUCCAACCUGCCCACCACUUGGGGAUAACCUUGCGAAAGUAAGACUAAUACCCAAUGAUAUCUCUAGAAGACAUCUGAAAGAGAUUAAAGAUUUAUCGGUGAUGGAUGGGGAUGCGUCUGAUUAGCUUGUUGGCGGGGUAACGGCCCACCAAGGCGACGAUCAGUAGGGGUUCUGAGAGGGAGGUCCCCCACAUUGGAACUGAGACACGGGCCAAACUCCUACGCGAGGCAGCAGUGAGGGAUAUUGAUCAAUGGACGAGAGUCUGAACCAGCCAAGUAGCGUGCAGGAAGACGGCCCUAUGGGUUGUAAACUGCUUUUAUAAGGGAAUAAAGUGAGUCUCGUGAGACUUUUUGCAUGAACCUAAUGAAUAAGGACCGGCUAAUUCCGUGCCAGCCGCCGCAGUAA
RNAcentral lists this ribosomal RNA (508 nucleotides) under uncultured bacterium. RNAcentral describes it as "partial 16S ribosomal RNA". It matches the Rfam family "Bacterial small subunit ribosomal RNA", at positions 28 to 523 of the family's 1533-position model. The record is from RNAcentral.